GGGCGAGUGGUGAAAUUGGCAGACACGUAAGAUUUAGGAUCUUAUGCCGUAAGGUGUGUGGGUUCAAGUCCCUCCUCGCCCA
Molecule: transfer RNA, 82 nt
Filed under: Candidatus Ancaeobacter aquaticus
Lineage: Bacteria; Pseudomonadati; Candidatus Auribacterota; Candidatus Ancaeobacteria; Candidatus Ancaeobacterales; Candidatus Ancaeobacteraceae
Description: tRNA-Leu
Rfam family: tRNA
About the family: Transfer RNA (tRNA) molecules are approximately 80 nucleotides in length. Their secondary structure includes four short double-helical elements and three loops (D, anti-codon, and T loops).
Source: RNAcentral